Hordeum vulgare subsp. vulgare (domesticated barley) is the source of this 1181-nucleotide long non-coding RNA. RefSeq lists it as uncharacterized. The transcript has 4 exons. Lineage: Eukaryota; Viridiplantae; Streptophyta; Magnoliopsida; Poales; Poaceae. The record is from RefSeq and is a predicted model, not a curated record.
UUGGAAGAGACGAGCAGGUUCUUCUUCCAGGUAUGAAAAGAAAUUUGACUACAUAUUUCUUGGUCUGCCAUUGCAUUUCUAUAUCUUUGCUAUCUUAUUGCAUUGAAUGACAUGAUUGACAUCUAUUUCAAAAUGUGCAUAUACUUCAACAAUUGAUAGUAUGUGUGUUAUAAUUUUGUUGAUUAGUUAUUAUUCCUUAUUGCCACUGUGUUGCUUCCAAAUUUAAACAUGACAUAUUUUGAUAGACUGUAUUAGAUGGCGCCGACUAAUCUUAGAUGUCGGCGGACAUUUGCAACCUGCACAAAAAAACAGUGGAGCCUAGAUUCAUAGAUUUUGACGACCUCGAAUAUUCUGAUACAUUCAGAAUUUGUAGCAUAUGUGUGAGGGUAGAUGUCAAAUUCCCGGUUAAUCGAAGUGGUGAUAACCUUCACUUCAUUCUUAUGGACAGAACUGUAAGUCUCGAGCAUGUCAGCUUGCUAAAAUAAACAUAUGGUUAUCAUCAUCUAACAUUUUCUAAAACAAUUCUAAGGGUGCCAAAAUCGAAGCUAUUGUAUGUGGAAAAGAUUUAGUGAAUAGAUUCAAUCUUACUUUGCACAUGGGGAGGAACUACAUCAUUCAUGGUGUUACUGUGCGCCCUAACUUUGAAGAACUGGAGUGUAGAUACAUUCAACACACAUAUGAGUGUUCCUUCAGUGCAAGGACAUUUGUUGAGUUCAUCUUACUUCAAUUUCCAACGUAUCCCAAGCAUUUGAUGUCAUUCCAGGAAAUUCAGAGGUGUCCAAAGCAAACUUUCAUAGGUAUGCAUUCAGGCAUAUAAUAGUUACUAACACAAUGGUAAUCUUAGUACCUAAAUUCGACUAAUGAUAUUUGAUACACACAUAGUUGGCAUAGUCGUUCAUUAUGAUAGAUAUGAAGUCAUUGGGGGAUACCCAGGUGCUGAAUUAUAUAGAGAGGUCACCUUCAUGGAUAUUUGGGGCAAACUUAUGGCUGUUGGGAUUUGUGGUGGCAACUUGAUUCAGAACUCAUAUAGGUGGUCAACAUCCGAAGGCAACAAAUCAGUUGUCCUUGGCACUAUGCUUCGUAAGGAUUGCAAAUACGGAAAUUUGGAAACUUCAAAUUACACCACCCUUUCAUUCAACCCGGAUCAUCCUCUAGCACGCGCACUUGAUGGUGAAUUGUUC